UCAUUGACAGAUUUGGGAUGUCUUGGUGGU
This 30-nucleotide non-coding RNA is filed under the name Rattus norvegicus (Norway rat). Lineage: Eukaryota; Metazoa; Chordata; Mammalia; Rodentia; Muridae. The record is from RNAcentral.